CAGAUGAUGUAUUUCUGUUGCUGCUACAACAACAAAUACUAAAAAGUACAGAAUCCGUGGGCGAGUCCGACUCGCACUUAUCCGGUUUUUUUAUUUUUUUUAUUUUACUAACUAGAUGUGUUAGCAGAGUUCAAAUCAUGCUAGCACUGUCUAAUUAAAUGUAACCUAAGUGAUAACGCUAUUGGACCAUUAAAAUGGUUUGAUACUGAAAACUGUAAUGGCCAAAACAACUAUGUAAUAAAAUAUUUUGGUUGCAUUUACUAUGUCUAUUUAGGCUAAUCAUUCAACUCUAAAGUCUUAGGAAGGUUUUAGAGUUCCAGAGGCCCUACUAUCUGUAUGAAAAGCUAAAAUGGGUCAAGGACUCACGCACCAGGCCAUUGAGAAGCUGCACCAAACUUGUCGUACCCAAGCAUGAAACAGCAUUCUUCAGAGGGAGUUUCAAAUUUGCUGCUGCUAAAGUCUGGAAUGACCUGCCACCACCACUCCAAGUGCAGAGGAGGGGUCACUCUUGCUUGCCGGGGAUGUGCUGAGAUGCAUCCUGGUGGUGCCCACUUGCCUGCGAUGUACACUGAGCAGGUCCAUGUACCAGCUACUCACACUUUCCAUAGACUUGCAAGAAAAAAAUAAAAGUCAACAUGCCACUGCCAGCAAAUUUAUGAGGUAAAUUAUCAGUAAAAUAAAAACUUUUAUAUUAAAGGAAAAAUUGAAAAAUUUACACCUCCAGCAAGACUCAAAAUUGCGACUAUUGGAACACCUCGGACGGUUCUGCCAACUGAGCUAUGGUGGCUUACCAGAUGUGUGCCAAUUUUUCCAUUCCUUUGCUUAUAAAGUUUAGGGUGGCGUAUACCAACAUCUCUUGUCUAUAUUUACAGGCACUGGACCGGAGUCUCAAGUUAUAUUGAGAAUUCGCAAGUAACAAUGUGCUAACCCAAACUAAACAAACUUUUAUCAUUUUUACUUUAAUAUAAAAUUUUUAGUAUCACUCACAGACAUAUGUUCUUGGUAAAAAAUUAAAUUAUUAGUUUUAUGAAUUGCGCUAAGCUUGCUUAUUUAUUUAAUAAAUAAAUAUUAUAGGACAAAUUGUACAUAGAUCAACCAAGUCCUAUAAAGCUUUUGUUGUGGGUACUAGACAGCAAUACAUAUAAUAUACAUAUAGUUAUAUAUAAAUACUUAUAAUAAUAUAAUAAUUUAUUUAUUGCAAGUAAGUUACACUCAUAAUGUGGUUAGUAAAACUUAAUUCUAAAUUAUGUAUUAGUAUUUUUUUAAACCUAGGGAUACAUCUAUAUCUAUAAACUAUUUUUGUUGUCAGCUGAGUACGGCACAUGUAGCCGACUGCAGCAUAGUAAAUAGGGGGAGUCCAGCCUGUCCCCUAUCAUCUUCAUGAUGAUGUUGGGGCUGGCGCGCACCCGGCGCACCAGGGAUGCGGCCCUCUUACGGAUAGUGGCAUAGAAACAAUCGACCCUGGCUUCAGCGAACAUCCCUGAUGCGCUACAGAAGCGCGGCAGCCCCAUCAACACCCGGAACGCGUUAUUAUACUGGACGCGGAGGGCUUCGUAGGCCCGUUUCGUAUAUGAAAGCCACAAAGUGCACGAGUACAGUGAGGUGCAGUAAGCUCUAAAGAGUGUCACUUUCACCUUCCUGGUACAGCGCACAAAUUUGCGAGCAAUCAUAUUCGCCCGGGCCGACAGGGCCCUCCUUUCUCUCUCUAUGUCUUUAUCAUCUUUGAGGUCUGCCGUGACUAUGUGCCCAAGAUAUUUAAACAUGUCCACCCUUUCGAGGUCUGCCCCGUUUAGUUUGAUGGGUGUCACUUCGGCUGUUCUGCCACGGCCGACCUCAAAGACCAUAUAUUUACUUUUAUUUACGUUAUAUUUUAAGCCGCGAGUCUCUGCAUAUGUUUCACACACCUCCAGCAGCCUACGUAUGCCACCAACCGAUGCGCUUAGCAGAACCAUAUUGUCUGCAUAACUAAUAUUAUUAAGGCAGACACCAUCAAUAUGACAUCCGAUAUGCAAUCUGCCAAGCGCAUCUAGCAGUUCGUUCAUGUAGAGGUUAAAUAGAGUGGGUGAGCUCAACCCCCCCUGCCUCACCCCACACUCCAACCUAUAAGGGUCAGAGAGCGCAUCCGCCCAUCUAACGCAGUUGACUUGGUUUCCAUACCAGUACCUGAAAAUGCUGAUUAGUCCAGAUGGAAGUUUAAUGUCUUCAAGUUUCUUCCAUAAAAUCUUAUAGGAAACCAAGUCAAAAGCCUUAGAUAGGUCAAGGAAGCAGGCAUAUACAGGGGAAUUUUUAUCUACGUAAUAUACCGGGUGUGUCCUGUAAUACAACAAAAAAUUUAAAAUUAAACUUCAAACUAGCCAACAUUUUUUCAGCGACUUUUAAAAAUGAAAAUAAUUUGUAUUUUAAAUUUUAGCACACCUUACUUCAGGAAGAAAUAUUUGUGAAAUAAAUACCCUCACCUUUUUCACCACACCAGCUGGUAAAGGCUCUCUUGAUUGUUCAAAACUGAUAUGAAAGUUGCAUUUUAUUCACAUGUGAGGCAAAGUAAUCAAAUGCAGAUUUUGAGUUGUUCUCUUAUAUUUGCUGGUAGAAUUGACAUUUUGAAUCGAUUUGCUUUGGUUUUGUUUGAUAUCUUACAGUUCGUAUUUUCCUUGUGUUGGUGUGGUGAAAAAAUUUGUGUUUCACUCAGUGUCAAAAUUUGUUUAACCCUCGUGCCUGGGAACCCUCGCAACGCUCAAGAUUCUUAUGAGCAUGCAUGCUUUAGUUUUAGUUUAGUAUUCAUUUCGUUUAAGAUAAAAUGUAGAUUUUUGACAAUGCAAAAGCGAUCCAACAGAUCCUACUUGAAUAAAUUGGUUUUUAUCUUUAUCUUAUACCAUUUUUCCAACCACUCGCUUUGCUCGUAGUGGUCGUGGAAUCCUUCGCUUGCUCGGGUAUCAAUAUUAGCACGAGAGUUAAACAACAACUUUGCCCGCUUGUAAAACAAAUAACUAUUAUAAAGUAUGUAAUGUUUUAUGAGUGUACCUAUAUGUAUUUCUUUAGAGCCUAACCCAAAUAUCUUGUUAUUUCCUAGGUAUUUAAGUACGGUAGUACUAUUAGUUAUUCUGUGAUAUAAGCAAGGGGGUGUCACUUCGCAGUUUAGGUACAUUUGGCCGGCGCGCCUCCCGGGCAGGCGUAUGGCAAUGGGCUGCCGCUCGACUCGCGCAAAAUUUAAAAUACAUAAUGCCUUCGAAACCUAAAUUUAUAGCGGAGUCUUAGUAAUAGGGCACCGUUUUUGCUCUUUGGGUAUGGAACCCUAAUAAAAACAUCAUUCUGUUUUUAUUUUUACCCCUGACUGUACAAAGAAUGACAUGUAUGUAUGUUUACGGUGAGUGGAUUUUUGUGUGUUAGUACUAAACAUUUUGUUUAGAAACACUGCUUCAGAAACAGCAAUCCACAUGUUGCUGAAACACAGAAAUAGUUGCGGUAAACACUACAUAAUUGUUUAUCGCCAUGGUCAUUGUACCUCAGACUAAAGACCUAUAUAACCCCGUAUAAGAUGAAUAAAGUAAGGAAAAAACGUGCCUCGGAAAUCAUGAAUUUUAACACAUAUCAGUGAAAGAACAUGGGUCAAAAUCAUAAAAAUAAUAAAUACAAAUAAAAAAAUAAUUUAUCCAUUAUACAUAUAUAUAUAAUUUUUUUGAUAUUUUUAGUUUUAAUCGUGUGUCGAUAGAUGGCAGUAAAUUUACUGUGACUACGAAAUUUACUUCCCUCUAUCCUAUGCGACUGGCGAGAAACUGCACAGGACCGGGAUCAGUGGCGAACUGUCGUGUUGGAGGCCAAGACACACUUUGGGUCGCUGCGCCAGAGGAGUAAGUAAGUCUAUCCUAUGCAUUCUCUUUGCUCAGACCGUCCACACUAUGUGAGCUGAAACAUUGUUUCUGUUAAUAUCUGCAUAGUGUUUCAGAAACAAUGUUUCAAAUAUUGUUUAUAGUGAAUGCUCGGCUUAAGUCUCCAAAAUAAUCAGUUUUGAUUACUUUUCCUGAACAGGAUUUGUGGAACAGCAAAAAAACUUUCUAUAAGAGGAAGAUGUUUUAAUUUUGCAUCAGUGUCUGUUGUAAAGUAACUUUGUUACAAGCUUUUAUUAUUGUAUAACUUGCAGUAUACUCGUAUGUAUGUUCAGGUCAAAUCUUGCAUGCAAAAUUAGACCCAAUUUCUAAUUUCUUUUCUAUUAUUACAUAAAGCUAAAAAUUCACAUACACAAGUAAGUUGGGUGACAAUGCAUUAUUAUGGUAGUAUCAAGAUGAUCUAAUGAUGGACUAAAGGUGGCCAUUGGAACUCUGUGAUAAAACAAUGAAAUCUAAUUGUGCCUCGAUUUGGUAGAAUUGUAUUGAUGAGUAUUACUUGCCUGUUGAAAGAAACGUACAGUCAGCAAUAAAAGCUUGUAUUGAAAAUGAAAUUUUUGACAAAAAAAAACCCGGCCCUCUGAACCCUAAAAAUGAUUAUAAGUUGAAUUAAAUAUGAAACUAACCUGAUUUCAGACAAUGAUGGCUGUCAUCCAGCAAAAUGUGGAUCGCCGGAUGUCUUGUGGUCGCCUGGGAAAAAGACUAACACUAUUGAGUCAGUCUGCUACACACCUGUAAUGUGACACAAGACAACGUGAUGGGCUGAUGGAUGUCGUCCAGCAAUGGUAGUCGGGAGCCACCUCUUGCCACAUGAGCCGAUGUUGCAGACUCCCGAUGGAGGCCGAGUCCUAGCAGCGGACACAUGGACGGACAUUAUGGACAAGGU
Long non-coding RNA from Cydia strobilella, 4764 nucleotides. RefSeq lists it as uncharacterized. The transcript has 3 exons. The record is from RefSeq and is a predicted model, not a curated record. NCBI's taxonomy places the organism in Eukaryota, Metazoa, Arthropoda, Insecta, Lepidoptera, Tortricidae.